UGCCAGCCGCCGCGGUAAUACGGAGGGUGCAAGCGUUGUCCGGAUUUAUUGGGUUUAAAGGGUGCGUAGGUGGUCAAUUUAGUCAGUGGUGAAAGCCCACAGCUCAACUGUGGAACUGCCAUUGAUACUGGUUGACUUGAGUACAGAUGAGGUAGGCGGAAUUUAUGGUGUAGCGGUGAAAUGCAUAGAUACCAUAAAGAACACCGAUAGCGAAGGCAGCUUACUAAACUGUUACUGACACUGAGGCACGAAAGCAUGGGUAGCGAACAGGAUUAGAUA
Molecule: ribosomal RNA, 279 nt
Filed under: uncultured bacterium
Lineage: Bacteria
Description: partial 16S ribosomal RNA
Rfam family: Bacterial small subunit ribosomal RNA
Source: RNAcentral